AGAGUUUGAUCCUGGCUCAGGAUGAACGCUAGCGGCAGGCUUAACACAUGCAAGUCGAGGGGUAACGCGGGGUAGCAAUACUCUGGCGACGACCGGCGCACGGGUGCGUAACGCGUAUGCAACCUACCUGUAACAGGGGGAUAACGGAGGGAAACUUCCACUAAUACCCCAUAUUGUCAUUCUUUCGCAUGUUAGGAUGACGAAAGCUUCGGUGGUUACGGAUGGGCAUGCGUGACAUUAGGUAGUUGGUGAGGCAACGGCUCACCAAGCCGACGAUGUCUAGGGGAGCUGAGAGGCUUAUCCCCCACACUGGUACUGAGACACGGACCAGACUCCUACGGGAGGCAGCAGUGAGGAAUAUUGGUCAAUGGACGGAAGUCUGAACCAGCCAUGCCGCGUGGAGGAAGAAGGUCCUAUGGGUUGUAAACUCCUUUUGUUCGAGAGUAAUAAGUGGGAUGCGUCCCACGAUGAGAGUAUCGGACGAAUAAGCAUCGGCUAACUCCGUGCCAGCAGCCGCGGUAAUACGGAGGAUGCAAGCGUUAUCCGGAUUUAUUGGGUUUAAAGGGUGCGCAGGCGGCGCGUUAAGUCAGCGGUGAAAUCUCCCGGCUCAACCGGGGAACUGCCAUUGAUACUGGCGUGCUAGAGUACGGACGGCGCCGGCGGAAUGUGUCAUGUAGCGGUGAAAUGCUUAGAUAUGCCACAGAACACCGAUCGCGAAGGCAGCUGGCGAGGCCGGUACUGACGCUCAGGCACGAAAGCGUGGGGAUCAAACAGGAUUAGAUACCCUGGUAGUCCACGCAGUAAAC
This 806-nucleotide ribosomal RNA is filed under the name uncultured bacterium. RNAcentral's name for it is "bacterial SSU rRNA". It matches the Rfam family "Bacterial small subunit ribosomal RNA", at positions 8 to 807 of the family's 1533-position model. The record is from RNAcentral.